GAUGAACGCUGGCGGCGUGCCUAAUACAUGCAAGUCGAGCGAACAGACGAGGAGCUUGCUCCUCUGACGUUAGCGGCGGACGGGUGAGUAACACGUGGAUAACCUACCUAUAAGACUGGGAUAACUGCGGGAAACCGGAGCUAAUACCGGAUAAUAUAUUGAACCGCAGGGUUCAAUAGUGAAAGACGGGUUUGCUGUCACUUAUAGAUGGAUCCGCGCCGCAUUAGCUAGUUGGUAAGGUAACGGCUUACCAAGGCAACGAUGCGUAGCCGACCUGAGAGGGUGAUCGGCCACACUGGAACUGAGACACGGUCCAGACUCCUUCGGGAGGCAGCAGUAGGGAAUCUUCCGCAAUGGGCGACAGCCUGACGGAGCAACGCCGCGUGAGUGAUGAAGGUCUUCGGAUCGUAAAACUCUGUUAUUAGGGACGAACAAAUGUGUAAGUAACUAUGCACGUCUUGACGGUACCUCAUCAGAAAGCCACGGCUAACUACGUG
Molecule: ribosomal RNA, 497 nt
Filed under: uncultured bacterium
Lineage: Bacteria
Description: partial 16S ribosomal RNA
Rfam family: Bacterial small subunit ribosomal RNA
Source: RNAcentral